AGUGAACGCUGGCGGCGUGCCUAAUACAUGCAAGUCGAACGGACAAGUAAGAGCUUGCUCUUAUGAGUUAGUGGCGCACGGGUGAGUAAUGUAUAGCUAAUCUGCCCUACACUAGAGGACAACAGUUGGAAACGACUGCUAAUACUCUAUACUCCUCUCUAGCAUAAGUUAGAUAGGGAAAGUUUUUCGGUGUAGGAUGAGGCUAUAUUGUAUCAGCUAGUUGGUGAGGUAAUGGCUCACCAAGGCUAUGACGC
RNAcentral lists this ribosomal RNA (254 nucleotides) under Campylobacter concisus. RNAcentral's name for it is "partial 16S rRNA". It matches the Rfam family "Bacterial small subunit ribosomal RNA", at positions 29 to 282 of the family's 1533-position model. Lineage: Bacteria; Pseudomonadati; Campylobacterota; Epsilonproteobacteria; Campylobacterales; Campylobacteraceae. The record is from RNAcentral.